AGUGAACGCUGGCGGCAGGCCUAACACAUGCAAGUCGAACGGCAGCACAAGAGAGCUUGCUCUCUGGGUGGCGAGUGGCGGACGGGUGAGGAAUGCAUCGGAAUCUGCCCAUUUGUGGGGGAUAACCUCGGGAAACCGGGACUAAUACCGCAUACGACCUACGGGUGAAAGCAGGGGAUCUUCGGACCUUGCGCAGAUGGAUGAGCCGAUGCCGGAUUAGCUAGUUGGAGGGGUAAAGGCCCACCAAGGCGACGAUCCGUAGCUGGUCUGAGAGGAUGAUCAGCCACGCUGGGACUGAGACACGGCCCAGACUCCUACGGGAGGCAGCAGUGGGGAGUAUUGGACAAUGGGCGCAAGCCUGAUCCAGCCAUGCCGCGUGUGUGAAGAAGGCCUUCGGGUUGUAAAGCACUUUUGUUGGGAAAGAAAAGCAGCCGGUUAAUACCCGGUUGUCAUGACGGUACCCAAAGAAUAAGCACCGGCUAACUUCGUG
Molecule: ribosomal RNA, 490 nt
Filed under: uncultured bacterium
Lineage: Bacteria
Description: partial 16S ribosomal RNA
Rfam family: Bacterial small subunit ribosomal RNA
Source: RNAcentral